This 67-nucleotide ribosomal RNA is filed under the name uncultured Herpotrichiellaceae. RNAcentral's name for it is "partial 5.8S ribosomal RNA". It matches the Rfam family "5.8S ribosomal RNA", at positions 49 to 115 of the family's 154-position model. Rfam says of the family: 5.8S ribosomal RNA (5.8S rRNA) is a component of the large subunit of the eukaryotic ribosome. It is transcribed by RNA polymerase I as part of the 45S precursor that also contains 18S and 28S rRNA. The record is from RNAcentral. Lineage: Eukaryota; Fungi; Ascomycota; Eurotiomycetes; Chaetothyriales; Herpotrichiellaceae.
CGAAUUGCGAUAUGUAAUGUGAAUUGCAGAAUUCAGUGAAUCAUCGAAUCUUUGAACGCACAUUGCG